GGGUGUGGCCAAGUGGUUAAGGCAACGGACUUUGACUCCGUCACCGUGGGUUCAAAUCCCGCCAUCCC
This 68-nucleotide transfer RNA is filed under the name human gut metagenome. It matches the Rfam family "tRNA". From Rfam's summary of the family: Transfer RNA (tRNA) molecules are approximately 80 nucleotides in length. Their secondary structure includes four short double-helical elements and three loops (D, anti-codon, and T loops). The record is from RNAcentral.